RNAcentral lists this ribosomal RNA (440 nucleotides) under uncultured bacterium. RNAcentral describes it as "partial 16S ribosomal RNA". It matches the Rfam family "Bacterial small subunit ribosomal RNA", at positions 338 to 795 of the family's 1533-position model. The record is from RNAcentral.
CCUACGGGAGGCAGCAGUGGGGAAUAUUGCACAAUGGAGGAAACUCUGAUGCAGCGACGCAGCGUGAGUGAAGAAGGAAUUCGUUAUGGAAAACUCUAUCAGCAGGGGAGUAAAUGACAGUAUCUGUGUAGUAAGCUACGUAUAACUUCGGUCCAGCUGCCGCGGUUAUACGUAGGCAGCAGGCGUGAUCCGGAUUUACUGGGUGUAAAGGGAGCGUAGGCGGGAGAGUAAGUCCGGAGUGAAAGGCGGGGGCUCAACCCGAGAAUUGCCGUGGAAACUGUACGACUGGAGUGCAGGAGAGGUAAGCGGAAUUCGUGGUGUAGCGGUGAAAUGCGUAGAUAUUAGGAGGAACACCGGUUGCGAAGGCAGCUUACUGGACUGUAACUGACGUUGAGGCUCGAAAGCGUGGGGAGCAAACAGGAUUAGAUACCCCUGUAGUC